Molecule: ribosomal RNA, 254 nt
Filed under: uncultured bacterium
Lineage: Bacteria
Description: partial 16S ribosomal RNA
Rfam family: Bacterial small subunit ribosomal RNA
Source: RNAcentral
GACGGAGGGUGCUAGCGUUGUUCGGAAUCACUGGGCGUAAAGGGCGCGUAGGCGGCCUUGCAAGUCGGUUGGUGAAAGCCCGGGGCUCGACCCCGGAGGUGCGGCCGAGACUGCAGGGCUGGAGGCCGGAAGAGGAGGGUGGAAUACCCAGUGUAGAGGUGAAAUUCGUAGAUAUUGGGUGGAACACCGGUGGCGAAAGCGGCUCUCUGGUCCGGACCUGACGCUGAGGCGCGAAAGCGUGGGGAGCAAAAGGG